AUUGAACGCUGGCGGCAUGCCUUACACAUGCAAGUCGAACGGUAACAGGUCUUCGGAUGCUGACGAGUGGCGAACGGGUGAGUAAUACAUCGGAACGUGCCCGAUCGUGGGGGAUAACGCAGCGAAAGCUGUGCUAAUACCGCAUACGAUCUACGGAUGAAAGCGGGGGAUCGCAAGACCUCGCGCGGACGGAGCGGCCGAUGGCAGAUUAGGUAGUUGGUGGGAUAAAAGCUUACCAAGCCGACGAUCUGUAGCUGGUCUGAGAGGACGACCAGCCACACUGGGACUGAGACACGGCCCAGACUCCUACGGGAGGCAGCAGUGGGGAAUUUUGGACAAUGGGCGCAAGCCUGAUCUAGCCAUGCCGCGUGCAGGAUGAAGGCCUCGGGUUGUAAACUGCUUUGUACGGACGAAAAAGACUCUCUCUAAUACAGGGGUGAAUGACGGUACCGUAAGAAUAAG
This 462-nucleotide ribosomal RNA is filed under the name uncultured bacterium. RNAcentral describes it as "bacterial SSU rRNA". It matches the Rfam family "Bacterial small subunit ribosomal RNA", at positions 30 to 490 of the family's 1533-position model. The record is from RNAcentral.